RNAcentral lists this ribosomal RNA (1466 nucleotides) under uncultured Bordetella sp. Its description in RNAcentral is "partial 16S-23S ribosomal RNA intergenic spacer". It matches the Rfam family "Bacterial small subunit ribosomal RNA". Lineage: Bacteria; Pseudomonadati; Pseudomonadota; Betaproteobacteria; Burkholderiales; Alcaligenaceae. The record is from RNAcentral.
AGUUUGUUCUGGCUCAGAUUGAACGCUGGCGGGAUGCUUUACACAUGCAAGUCGAACGGCAGCACGGACUUCGGUCUGGUGGCGAGUGGCGAACGGGUGAGUAAUGUAUCGGAACGUACCUAGUAGCGGGGGAUAACUACGCGAAAGCGUAGCUAUUACCGCAUACGCCCUUCGGGGAAAGCGGGGGGACCUUCGGGCCUCGCACUAUUAGAGCGGCCGAUAUCGGAUUAGCUAGUUGGUGGGGUAACGGCUCGCAAGGCGACGAUCCGUAGCUGGUUUGAAGGACGACCAGCCACACUGGGACUGAGACACGGCCCAGACUCCUACAGGAGGCAGCGGUGGGGAAUUUUGGACAAUGGAAACCUGAUCCAGCCGCUCCGUGUACGAUGAAGGCCUUCGGGUUGUAAGCACUUUGGCGGGAAAAGAAACGGCACAGGAUAAUACCCCGUGCAACUGACAGUACCUGCAGGUAACACCGGCUAACUACGUGCCCAGCAGCCGCGAGGCAGCCCGUAGGGUGCAAGCGUUAAUCAGAUUACUGGGCGUAAAGCGUGCGCAGGCGGUUCGGAAGAAGAUGCUGAAAUCCAGAGCUUAACUUUGGAACUGCAUUUUUAACUACCGAGCUAGAGUGUGUCAGAGGGAGGUGGAAUUCCACGCGAUGUAGCAGUGAAAUGCGUAGAUAUGCGGAGGAACUGCCGAUGGCAGGCAGCCUCCUGGGAUAACACUGUGCAUCAUGCACAAACGUGGGAGGUGACAGGAUUAGAUCUGCCCUGGUAGUCCACGCCCUAAACGAUGUCAACUAGCUGUUGAGACAGCCCUGGGCCUUGGUAGCACAGCUAGCACCAGCGUGAAGUUGACCGCCUGGGGGAAUACGGUGCAAGAUUAAAACUCAAAGGAAUUGACGGGGACCCGCACAAGCAGUGGAUGAUGUGGAUUAAUUCGAUGCAACGCGAAAAACCUACCCUUGACGCUGUCUGGAAUCCGAAGAGAUUUGGGGUGCUCGCAAGAGAACCGGAACACCGGAGUGCUGCAUGGCUGUCGUCAGCUCGUGUCGUGAGAUGUUGGGUUAAGUCCUGCCGGCGCAACCCUUGUCAUUAGUUGCUACGAAAGGGCACUCUAAUGGGAGCCGCCGAUGGUGACCGGAAAGAUUGAGAUGGCGUCAAGUCUCAUGGCCCUUGUGGUGAGGCUUCACACGUCAUACAAUGGUCGAGACAGAGGUCGCCAACCCCGCGAGGGGGUGCCAAUCCCGAAACCGAUCGUAGUCGGAUCGCAGUCUGCAACUCGACUGCGUGAAGUCGAUCCGUGUGUCGCGGAUCAGCAUGUCGCGGUGAAUACGUUCCAGGGUCUGUACACCGCCCGUCACACCAUGGGAGUGGGUUUUACCGAAGUAGUUAGCCUAACCGUAAGGAGGGCGAUUACCACAGUAGGAUUCAUGACUGAAAUUUAGGAGAUAAUAACAAAGGCAA